RNAcentral lists this ribosomal RNA (435 nucleotides) under uncultured bacterium. RNAcentral's name for it is "partial 16S ribosomal RNA". It matches the Rfam family "Bacterial small subunit ribosomal RNA", at positions 28 to 507 of the family's 1533-position model. The record is from RNAcentral.
GAUGAACGCUGGCGGUAUGCUUAACACAUGCAAGUCGAACGGACUCUUCGGAGUUAGUGGCGGACGGGUGAGUAACGCGUGAGAAUCUGGCUUUGGGUUCGGGACAACCACUGGAAACGGUGGCUAAUACCGGAUGUGCCGAGAGGUAAAAGAGAAAUUGCCUGAAGAUGAGCUCGCGUCUGAUUAGCUAGUUGGUGAGAUAAAGGCUCACCAAGGCAGCGAUCAGUAGCUGGUCUGAGAGGAUGACCAGCCACACUGGGACUGAGACACGGCCCAGACUCCUACGGGAGGCAGCAGUGGGGAAUUUUCCGCAAUGGGCGAAAGCCUGACGGAGCAAUACCGCGUGAGGGAAGAAGGCUCUUGGGUUGUAAACCUCUUUUCUUAGGGAAGAACAAAAUGACGGUACCUAAGGAAUCAGCAUCGGCUAACUCCGUG